CCUUCGGGAGGCAGCAGUGAGGAAUAUUGGUCAAUGGGCGGAAGCCUGAACCAGCCAAGUCGCGUGAGGGAUUAAGGCCCUAUGGGUCGUAAACCUCUUUUGUCAGGGAGCAAUGGCGUCCACGUGUGGGCGUAUGGAGAGUACCUGAAGAAAAAGCAUCGGCUAACUCCGUGCCAGCAGCCGCGGUAAUACGUAGGUGGCAAGCGUUGUCCGGAUUUACUGGGUGUAAAGGGCGUGCAGCCGGGGAGACAAGUCAGAUGUGAAAUCCACGGGCUCAACCCGUGAACUGCAUUUGAAACUGUUUCCCUUGAGUGUCGGAGAGGUAAUCGGAAUUCCUUGUGUAGCGGUGAAAUGCGUAGAUAUAAGGAAGAACACCAGUGGCGAAGGCGGAUUACUGGACGAUAACUGACGGUGAGGCGCGAAAGCGUGGGGAGCAAACAGGAUUAGAUACCCUAGUAGUC
RNAcentral lists this ribosomal RNA (461 nucleotides) under uncultured bacterium. RNAcentral's name for it is "partial 16S ribosomal RNA". It matches the Rfam family "Bacterial small subunit ribosomal RNA", at positions 338 to 795 of the family's 1533-position model. The record is from RNAcentral.